AGCAGGAAUCAGACCUACCACUCAAAGCACUCUAUUGUGGAUAUAAGCUGUGCUUCUGCUAGGAGGAUUUGCCAAAACAGAUAUACUGGCAAAGCAGCUAAGGUGAGAGAAAGCCAAGAAUUCCUAAGUUGUCUGUGACAUACUGCCUUCGUCACUGGACACCCUGCCACUGAUGGGGACCAGCUCCUGCCUUUUGCUCACCACUACAAAUGCCACUGCCUUGAGAAUUACUGACAUUGUCACUGAGGGGGCUAUAGUUGUAUUAUGGAGAAAUCAAGAACUCAGAGCCAAUUCAUCUGUUUUGCUCUCCUGGGAACAGUAAUGUUUAUUUUGAAAGGAAUCUUUCAGUGAUGUUUUCCAAUUAAAAAAAAACAACAACCUGAAAUAAUUCUUAUCUUG
Long non-coding RNA from Lepidothrix coronata (blue-crowned manakin), 399 nucleotides. RefSeq lists it as uncharacterized. The transcript is spliced from 3 exons. The record is from RefSeq and is a predicted model, not a curated record. NCBI's taxonomy places the organism in Eukaryota, Metazoa, Chordata, Aves, Passeriformes, Pipridae.